GUGGAAGUAGCUCAGUUGGUUAGAGUAUCAGGUUGUGGCCCUGAGGGUCGUGGGUUCGAGUCCCAUCUUCCACCCCA
Molecule: transfer RNA, 77 nt
Filed under: Clostridia bacterium
Lineage: Bacteria; Bacillati; Bacillota; Clostridia
Description: tRNA-His
Rfam family: tRNA
About the family: Transfer RNA (tRNA) molecules are approximately 80 nucleotides in length. Their secondary structure includes four short double-helical elements and three loops (D, anti-codon, and T loops).
Source: RNAcentral